This 669-nucleotide long non-coding RNA is filed under the name Homo sapiens (human). RNAcentral's name for it is "long intergenic non-protein coding RNA 511". The record is from RNAcentral. Lineage: Eukaryota; Metazoa; Chordata; Mammalia; Primates; Hominidae.
GGCGCCCACCGUAAGCCUCCCGGGCCUUGUGAACCUGCAAACCCAAGUCUGAGAGACGAUCCGCCUUCAGCGCUUUCCAGCUUGGCAGAGAGGCUUUCCCGGCGGGGAUCUUUGGUUGGCGCUGGCGAUGCGCGGGGAAGAAAGGCGAGGAGCGGCGUCCAGGCUGGGUGAUGUCCCAGCACGAGUAGGCGGGAUGCGCUCGCUUGGUCCUCCGGGCGCCCGGUCCCUGCCCGCGUCGCGCGCCCACCCCUGGGGACGAGAAGGCGGCCGCCUGAGGACCCCCGCCCGCGACCUCCGCGAGUCUGGAGCGCAGAGGACAGGGUCUGGCUGCUCUUUGGCCUUGGAUGGAAAGUGGGGAAUUGGGUGGGGGGCUGCGGACCCCUUAACGUGGAUUACUUGGUGUGUAUCAGCUGGGCUCAGAAGACCCACGACCUCUUCUCCAUCCGUGGAUUGAUUUGUUCUGCUUAACAGCUGGGUCGCCAAGCUGGAGGAACUCUGAAAGCCACAUGUUGAGAUGGCCCCAUUACAGGAUGGAGAGCACCUGAACCCCCAAGUUAUGGACUAGAAGAAGACAGUUGCCCUGGAAAAUCAUCUGACCCACAUUGGACUUUAUGUGAGGGGGAAAUAAACCUUUAUUAUGUUAAGCUACACAAUAAUAAAUAACAACAA